AGUAAAGAGAGAUUAUCCAAAAGAAAAUCCUGUCUACUCUGAGGUGAAGACAGGGAAAGCCACUGCAGCCGCUGGACCUGUUGAUGUGACCUAUGCUGAGGUUGACCUCCAAAAGAAGGUCAAAGCCAAGAAGAAGAGAGAAACAGCAACCCCACCUGAGGCAGAACCUGUCUAUUCUCUAGUGAAGCCAUACACAGCCCCCGGUAAGACUUAAUCAACAAUCUAUUGAAAGGGUAUGAAACUAUAUCUAAGUAUGUCCUAAGAAACUGGUGAGAAAUCAUUUCUGAUCACAUUACCUUUUUAUCAUUGUCACGUACGUUAAGGAACGGGACGG
This is a long non-coding RNA of Coregonus clupeaformis (lake whitefish), 334 nucleotides long. RefSeq lists it as uncharacterized. The record is from RefSeq and is a predicted model, not a curated record. The transcript has 3 exons. Lineage: Eukaryota; Metazoa; Chordata; Actinopteri; Salmoniformes; Salmonidae.